CACCUACUUCUAACAACAUUCAGAGUGUUUGGCAUGGGGUGACUCAUCCAAGAUCAAAUGUAAUAUGGAUGGAAGUGAUGAGAUCACUAUAUUUAGUUGAAUCAUGAUAAUCUUCGUGACAGUAAUCUCAAAUCACCCAUAUUUCUCAAAUCACCUUCCAACCCAGUGAUAAAAUAUUCAUUCUUGAGGUUGGAAAUCCAACAUCACUCUCGAAUAAUGAUCUUAGGC
Molecule: long non-coding RNA, 228 nt
Filed under: Elaeis guineensis (African oil palm)
Lineage: Eukaryota; Viridiplantae; Streptophyta; Magnoliopsida; Arecales; Arecaceae
Description: long non-coding RNA (EGUI_LNC013948)
Source: RNAcentral